AACGAACGCUGGCGGCGUGGAUAAGACAUGCAAGUCGAACGCGAUUUUUCCGGUUAGCAAUAACUGGAGAAAUUGAGUGGCGAAUGGGUGCGUAACACGUGGGAAUUUAUCCGGAAGUGGGGGAUAGCUUGCCGAAAGGCAAAUUAAUACCGCAUAUGCCCGUAAGGGCAAAGUGGGGGACCGCAAGGCCUCACGCUAUCGGAGGAGCCCGCGCCCUAUCAGCUAGUUGGUGAGGUAAUGGCUCACCAAGGCUUAGACGGGUAGCUGGUCUGAGAGGACGACCAGCCACACUGGAACUGAGACACGGUCCAGACACCUACGGGUGGCAGCAGUCGAGGAUUUUUCUCAAUGGGGGCAACCCUGAAGGAGCGACGCCGCGUGGAGGAUGAAGGGCUUCGGCUCGUAAACUCCUGUCACCGACGAACAAGGCAUCCGGAUUAAUAAAUCGGAUGCUUGAUGGUAGUCGGAGAGGAAGGGGCGGCUAACUCUGUGCCAGCAGCCGCGGUGAUACAGAGGCCCCAAGCGUUGUUCGGAUUUACUGGGCGUAAAGGGUGUGUAGGGGGUCGGGUAAGUUUGACGUGAAAUCCCGUUGCUCAACAACGGAACUGCGUCGAAUACUGCUCGGCUGGAGGUUCGGAGAUGAGGGCGGAAUUCUCGGUGUAGCGGUGAAAUGCGUAGAUAUCGAGAGGAACGCCGACGGCGAAAGCAGCCCUCAAGACGAAAUCUGACCCUGAAACACGAAGGCCAGGGGAGCAAACGGGAUUAGAUACCCCGGUAGUCCUGGCAGUAAACGGUGCUCAUUAGAUGUAGGCGGAUUCGACCCCGCCUGUGUCGAACCUAACGGAUUAAAUGAGCCGCCUGGGAAGUACGGUCGCAAGAUUAAAACUCAAAGAAAUUGACGGGGGCCCGCACAAGCGGUGGAGUAUGUGGCUUAAUUCGAUGCAACGCGAAGAACCUUACCUGGCCUUGACAUGCUUAGUUCAAGCGUGGAAACACGCUG
This 1000-nucleotide ribosomal RNA is filed under the name uncultured bacterium. RNAcentral's name for it is "bacterial SSU rRNA". It matches the Rfam family "Bacterial small subunit ribosomal RNA", at positions 28 to 1013 of the family's 1533-position model. The record is from RNAcentral.